Molecule: ribosomal RNA, 253 nt
Filed under: uncultured bacterium
Lineage: Bacteria
Description: partial 16S ribosomal RNA
Rfam family: Bacterial small subunit ribosomal RNA
Source: RNAcentral
UACGAAGGGGGCUAGCGUUGCUCGGAAUCACUGGGCGUAAAGGGCUCGUAGGCGGCCAACUAAGUCAGACGUGAAAUCCCUCAGCUUAACUGGGGAACUGCGUCUGAUACUGGAUGGCUUGGAUCCGGAAGAGGGAUGCGGAAUUCCAGGUGUAGCGGUGAAAUGCGUAGAUAUCUGGAGGAACACCGGUGGCGAAGGCGGCAUCCUGGGCCGGUAUUGACGCUGAGGAGCGAAAGCCAGGGGAGCAAACGGG